This 444-nucleotide ribosomal RNA is filed under the name uncultured bacterium. RNAcentral describes it as "partial 16S ribosomal RNA". It matches the Rfam family "Bacterial small subunit ribosomal RNA", at positions 354 to 796 of the family's 1533-position model. The record is from RNAcentral.
GUAGGGAAUAUUGGGCAAUGGAUGCAGUCUGACCCAGCCAUCCCGCGUGCCGGAAGAAGGCCCUCAGGGUUGUAAACGGCUUUUGACGGUGAAGAAUCGACAGGAUGCGUCCUGUUUUGACGGUAGCCGUUGAAUAAGCACCGGCUAACUCCGUGCCAGCAGCCGCGGUAAUACGGAGGGUGCGAGCGUUGUCCGGAUUUAUUGGGUUUAAAGGGUGCGUAGGCUGGAAGGUCAGUCAGCGGUGAAAAGCUGUCGCUUAACGAUAGUCUUGCCGCAGAUACUUCCUUUCGUGGAUGAGGAGGAGGCCACUGGAACGGAUGGUGUAGCGGUGAAAUGCAUAGAUAUCAUCCAGAACGCCAAUUGCGAAGGCAGGUGACUGUACCUAUAUCGACGCUGAUGCACGAAAGCAUGGGUAGCGAACAGGAUUAGAAACCCCUGUAGUCC